GACGAACGCUGGCGGCGUGCCUAAUACAUGCAAGUAGAACGCUGAAGAGAGGAGCUUGCUCUUCUUGGAUGAGUUGCGAACGGGUGAGUAACGCGUAGGUAACCUGCCUUGUAGCGGGGGAAAACUUUUGGAAACGUUACAUAAACCGCCUUAACAUUGAUUAACACAUUUCAUUUUUUGAAAAGGGGCAAUUGCUCCCUUACAAGCGGGACUUGAGUGGUUUUAGCAAGUAGGUGAGGUAACGGCUAACCUGGCAAACGAUACAUAGCCGACCUGAGAGGGGGAUCGGCCAAACUGGGACCGAGACACGGCCCAGAAUCCGACGGGAGGCAGCAGUAGGGAAGCCUCGGCAAUGGGGGCAACCCUGACCGAGCAACGCCGCGUGAGGGAAGAAGGGUGUCGGAUCGUAAAGCUCGGUUGUAAGUCAAGAACGAGUGUGAGAGUGGAAAGUUCACACUGUGACGGUAGCUUACCAGAAAGGGACGGCUAACUACGUG
RNAcentral lists this ribosomal RNA (497 nucleotides) under uncultured bacterium. RNAcentral's name for it is "partial 16S ribosomal RNA". It matches the Rfam family "Bacterial small subunit ribosomal RNA", at positions 28 to 507 of the family's 1533-position model. The record is from RNAcentral.